UGGGGAAUAUUGCACAAUGGGCGCAAGCCUGAUGCAGCCAUGCCGCGUGUAUGAAGAAGGCCUUCGGGUUGUAAAGUACUUUCAGCGGGGAGGAAGGUGUUGUGGUUAAUAACCACAGCAAUUGACGUUACCCGCAGAAGAAGCACCGGCUAACUCCGUGCCAGCAGCCGCGGUAAUACGGAGGGUGCAAGCGUUAAUCGGAAUUACUGGGCGUAAAGCGCACGCAGGCGGUCUGUCAAGUCGGAUGUGAAAUCCCCGGGCUCAACCUGGGAACUGCAGCCGAAACUGGCAGGCUUGAGUCUUGUAGAGGGGGGUAGAAUUCCAGGUGUAGCGGUGAAAUGCGUAGAGAUCUGGAGGAAUACCGGUGGCGAAGGCGGCCCCCUGGACAAAGACUGACGCUCAGGUGCGAAAGCGUGGGGAGCAAACA
RNAcentral lists this ribosomal RNA (427 nucleotides) under uncultured bacterium. Its description in RNAcentral is "partial 16S ribosomal RNA". It matches the Rfam family "Bacterial small subunit ribosomal RNA", at positions 355 to 774 of the family's 1533-position model. The record is from RNAcentral.